This 476-nucleotide ribosomal RNA is filed under the name uncultured bacterium. RNAcentral describes it as "partial 16S ribosomal RNA". It matches the Rfam family "Bacterial small subunit ribosomal RNA", at positions 29 to 507 of the family's 1533-position model. The record is from RNAcentral.
AUUAACGCUGGCGGCGUGCAUAACACCUGCAAGUCGCACGAUGAAACUUAACUGAUUUCUUCGGAAUGAUUUUAAGUGGAUUAGUGGCGGACGGGUGAGUAACGCGUGAGUAACCUGCCUUGGAGAAGGGGAUAGCCUUUGGAAACGAAGAAUAAUACCCUAUGAUAUGAUAAUAUCUCAUGAUAUUAUCAUCAAAGAUUUAUCGCUCUAAGAUGGACUUGCGUCUGAUUAGUUAGUUGGUGAGGUAACAGCUCACCAAGGCAGCGAUCAGUAGCCGGCUUGAGAGAGUAUACGGCCACAUUGGGACUGAGACACGGCCCAGACUCCUACGGGAGGCAGCAGUGGGGAAUUUGGCACAAUGGGGGAAACCCUGAUGCAGCGACGCCGCGUGAUUUAGAAGGCCUUCGGGUUGUAAAAAUCUUUUGUAUGGGAAGAAAAUGACAGUACCAUACGAAUAAGGACCGGCUAAUUACGUG